This 32-nucleotide non-coding RNA is filed under the name Homo sapiens (human). The record is from RNAcentral. Lineage: Eukaryota; Metazoa; Chordata; Mammalia; Primates; Hominidae.
UGGCUUUGCGCAAGGUUGGGGAUUGGCCCCUU